AAAUAAAUCGGUUCAUUAGAACUCGAGAUAUCAUGCACGCCAACUCGAAAAAAGUAGUUUCGAGAAAAACGCGUUUAAACAGAUGCUGCGUCACAAAAAUGGCUGUAACUUAUAAAAUAAUUGAAAUUUUAAAAAAUCCUUUUAAGGGCAUAUUCUUGAAUGUCUAAACUUUGGAAAUAUGAAACAAAAUUUUUCGAUUUUUUUCAAAUUUGUAGACUAGAAUACCCCCUUAA
RNAcentral lists this unclassified non-coding RNA (233 nucleotides) under Bombus terrestris (buff-tailed bumblebee). RNAcentral describes it as "misc RNA ENSBTSG00005029823.1". The record is from RNAcentral. Lineage: Eukaryota; Metazoa; Arthropoda; Insecta; Hymenoptera; Apidae.